CAUGCAGGCGGUUAUACAAGUAGGAUGUGAAAGCCUGGGGGCUCAACCUCAGAACUGCAUUCUAAACUGUGUGACUAGAGUAUUGCAGGGGGAGACGGAAUUUCAGGUGUAGCGGUGGAAUGCGUAGAUAUCUGAAAGAACACCAAAGGCGAAGGCAGUCUCCUGGGCAAAUACUGACGCUCAUAUGCGAAAGCGUGGGUAGCAAACA
RNAcentral lists this ribosomal RNA (208 nucleotides) under uncultured bacterium. RNAcentral describes it as "partial 16S ribosomal RNA". It matches the Rfam family "Bacterial small subunit ribosomal RNA", at positions 568 to 774 of the family's 1533-position model. The record is from RNAcentral.